CCAUGAUGAUAUCGAGAGCAAUGAACUCUUUUGUCCACUUGCAGGAGGCAGACUGGGACCGACCACCGCCCAUGAGGAUGUCCCGCUUUUAUGACACCUGCCCAGUUUCUAAGAAUCAUCUGAAGCCACAAACAGCUUAAGUGGCCAGUCACAUCAGAAAGGCCUUCAGUAAGAGGUCAGGAAAGGACUGGAUCCCUAAGGCUUCAGGAAGUGGAUUGGCAGUACUCCCCAAGUCAUACUGACUGACCUCCUGGCUCCCAUCACCAGCUUCAUUAGCCACUUCCCUGAAUUCCUCACCUCCCAACCUAAGCUUCAGGCCUCAAGGCCAAGUGAAAACAAGGGACACACCCAGAAUUGCUUUGCAUUUGAUUUAUUGAAGGGAAGCUUUGAAACAGGACCUCAGGAUCACAGGCUGUUUCUCUCACUACAUUCUACAGGAAUUGGGCUCUUGGCUGACAAGAGGAACAGGAAAUCCAGAAGGCUAGUUCCAUCUUGAGAUAGCAGGAGCUUGCUGUCCCCACUUGCUUUUAUAUUUCUUGUCGAGAUCCUUUGCUUCCUGAAACAGAGAGAGAGUUAACGUGGCCCUGCUUUUCCUGGGCGCACUAGGUCAGGACAGUUUCUCCCUCCCCACUUCUAGCAGUUUUUUCUUGGCUAUUAGUCAGUGAUUGGGAAGGGAUUUACUUGUAGGAUUCAGCUCUAGCACAAGCAUGUUUAAGGAGAGGAAGAAAAAUGGACCAGAGCCUGAACACAAAUAGCCUGAAAUCCUGGAAGUCACCAGAGAGUCAUCCCUAACAUUGGUGAUGGAUGAGGAGCCAAGAGAAUGCACAGACUCCAGGAAGGCAGACUGCUCUUUGUAUUUAGAGUCAGGAGGACCCAAGGCCAGAUCCAGGCCAGAGAGGGGGAGAAGAGCUUUGUAUCCCAGCCUGGGGGAAGACAGUAUCCUCAAUCAUCUCAGCAUGGGAAGGAAGACAUCCUGGUUCACCCAAGCUAAAUCAUAUUUCUGACCCAGGGAGGGGAACCUAGUGCCACCCACUCAUCUGGAGGAGGGAGAUGGGAAUUAACACGGUCUGUGACAGGAUCCCUGGUCAUUUGUGCCUGGGGACUGGGGAGGGGCUUACUAGGUGUAGUCGAGGAAUACCUCCUCUUUUCUUUAUUUGUAUUUGCCUAAGAUAAAGUUGUGGACUUACUUAUCUUUGCUUCAGACAAAGAUAAGGAUUGACACCUUCGCCCAUCUUGGGACCAAGGAUGGAAUGUAAACAAGAAGGCUGCGGGAUAAAAUUUAUGAAGGGCUAAUUGCGAUUAGGUGGGCGCCUAUCCCCUUGUCUGUCCCCUUCCCCUUUGUUUGUAUUUGCAUUAACGGAAGAAUGUAGGCUGACCUUCGAACACCUGCCUAUCCCUUGAUCAAGAUUAGGGUUUCUGGAAUGUAGAGUUGUACAUUCCUGUAGGUUUUUUGUCUAAGUAGUCUUUGCCUAUAAAAGUUCUGUGUGAAGCAAAUAAAAUUGGCACUAUUUCUCUCUUUUCAUAUAGUGUCCAUCUCUUCUUUUGUUACUCUUCAUUUUUCGUUACCCCAAACAGGAUGUCACAGGACUGGCCAACCCUGUGGAUGAGUCUUGUAAGCCAUAGAGUCUUACAAAUGGCUGCCCGGACAGGGACUUGCAUUCGUAACCCCGAUUCCUUUGCUGGUCAAAGGAUGACGAAGAGUUAACAGCUUUUGCCCCGAGACUGCAGCUCGGAUGGGCAGAAGAAUCGAACAGAGAGAGUGCAGUAUUUGUGGGCCUCCUCUGUUCCCCAACUUUUUCUCUCUUUCGCUUUUUAGUUUAAACUGUCCCCUAUUAGGGACCCCCUUCCCCCCAUUCUUUUCUUUUCUUGGAACCCUUCCUUCGGUUCUCUUUGGAUAACCCCCGACGCUGUGUGCUGGUCAUGCAGUUUCAAUGCUACGGAGAUCCCCUUGGUGGUGAGCAUACGAGAUACUCUAAGGGUGAGAGGGAAAUUAUAUUUUUUCUUUAGAAUGGAUCCUAAAAGACUGAUUUUUUCCUUUCAAAGCAUGCUUGUCACAAUGUUGUGUGUUUCUGUUUUUUGUUGUCUUUGUCAAAGUCUCAUCUCUAUGUAUUCUUGAAUUGGACACUCACAAAAAGAAAGAAUAUAAAAUGGGAUAGUUGCAAGAUUGAACUUGUCUGUCAAAAAUCCUCAGCAGAGGACAAAAGCAAAUACCUGUUCAAUGAUUUUUUCCUCUUUCUUCCUUUGGAUGGGCCCCCAAAGGAGCGAAAAAGAGAAAAAUUCAGAGCAGAAAAAGGGAGAUUUUUACUCCACAAUUAGAGGCUAUUUUUCACUUAAGAUUAAUCCUAUGGUUUGAUGUAAGCAAUUUGGGAGUAUUGUUAAUGAUUUUGAUAUGAUCUAAAUUUAAUUUCGUGCAACUAUUUGUCAGUUAAAUGUGAAAUAUUAAUCAGAUUUUAUUGAGUACAACAAAAUUCCUGGUUAGAAGUUUGUUUUAUUAAAUAUUGCUAUGCAUAAUGGUUUCAGUGAAUUUGAGAAUUGUCUAAAUGUGGCUGAUAGCCAGACUGACACAGAGAGGGAAUAUUUUAUUCUAUAAGGACAAAAAAUUGCACUGGCUACUUUAUAUAUGUAAAAGUCAUCAUGUUGUUGAGAAGAACUUAUUCUAGAAAUUAAAUUUGGGAUUUUUUCAAAUCAGAUUUAUUUUAAUGCAUGUGCUGUCAGGAAUAGUAACAAGAAAUCAUAUGACACACAAGAAGUUUAAGUAAUCUGUUCAUGGAAUUUUAUAAUACUAGUAUUAAGAAUUUGGUAUUUUGCAAGAGAGAAUUUCUAAAUGAUGUUUUUGAUCAAGGUUAUAUGAAUUGUUUUUAAAUGUGAAAAAUGCAUAGGAAGGAAUUUGUAAUCUAGAGAUGAACAUGUAUGUAUUCAGAUACCAAAUGCUGGAAAUUAGUGAUACUGAGUGAAUACAGAAUAUGUAUGCAUUUGUAUUAUGAAGAGAAUUAAGUUUUCCACCUAAAUAGGUUAAGGGUAUAUGAUAUACAAACUGCAUGUCCUUAACAAGACAAAUUUAACCAGCCCUGAAAUCAAGAGGGCUUGUCAUGAAGAUUGAAUACAAUUCCAUAUAGUGCCUUUCCUCUACUUACAAUAAUGGUAAAGAGGGGAAGCCAGAAGAAAUAAUGAAGUAGUCCCAAUAAGAGAAAAUAAUUAAUUGAAGUAGAUAAAGGGGAUUUAUCCCUUCCUAAGUUUUUUUUAGGAAACAGACUCAGCCCCCUCCCCCUCAGGAGGUCAAACAGUUUUUGCAGGCUGGAAAAAAAAAAAGGACUCUAAUUAGCUGAAGGAUAAGAAUUAGGAAGGUCAGGUAACAAAAGGAACUUCAGGAAUAUCAAAGAGGUCCGGCUGGAAUGCCAGGUAACAUAUAGCUAACUAGGGAUGUGAUUAAGUAACUGUGAAAGUAACCAGCCUCUGAGGACAAACCUCAGGAUCUCUGACCUCACAUAACUAUGUUUGUGAUCAAACUAUGUUUGAUUGUCAAAUAAGAAUCUUUAUGUGAAAGGAAAUAACUUUAUAUCUUAUAACCUAUCUAUAUAAGUUUAUAAUUGAAUUUGGAGGUGUCUGGAUUCGUUUUAUGAAGUGUUCCACUGCAAUAAGAGUAAUGAAUAGAGAUACUAACUGAUAUUCUUAAAUUCUAGUAUGAAUUAGAUAUAAUUGUAAUAAUGUUGAUGGAAUUUAAUCAGGAAUAUAGCAAUAUUUUAGGCUAAACGAAAACUAAACUGUAGGUUUUAUUCUACUUUAGACAGGUUUUGAGGAGUGUACGUAAAUGCUUUGUGCUUCAGUUUGGUUACACACUGAAACAUUGCUAAAGGACUUAAUCAAAGUUAUUUGGGAGUUGUGGAGUUUAAACUAAAAUCCACUGAGAGUAAAUUAUUAUGAAAGAGGUUUGAUAAAUUCAAUAUUAUAGUAAGCUCACUUGUUAAAGAAGGAUGGGACAAGGCUGUUAAGUAAUAAAUCUAAAUUGAGCCAAGGAGCCUUAGGAUCAAUUGCUCAGAAGCUAUUAACCCCUUCCUUGCACACAGGAAGGAGAAGGAAGUUCCACACUAAUACUUAUGAACUGCACUAGGGAUCUCAAAGAGUUAACAACCUCUGUGUGAUAGAACUUAAGAUAAGUGUAUUUUAAUUGUAGAUUCAGAGGUUUUAAGACACUCAAACAAACAAACUUUGCCAGGCCUGGUCUGACCAAGUAGCUUGUUUGAAGCUGUGAAUUUUCAUGCAAACAUUCCAUGUCCAGAAUGAUAAGAUUAUUCAGCCAACAAGAUGUAGCUUCAGCCCUUCAUUCUGUAAGACUACACUUUCCUGCUCUGUACAUCGUCCAUUAUAUGGGUGAUAUUCUUAUCAUGGCUGAAGAUGAAUCUCGAGUAAGCAAGUGCUAUCUAUAGUCAAUUGGAAAUUACCUUGCAAAAAUACCAUUUAGCUAUUACUCAAGAAAAGAUUCACAAAACAAGUCCCGUCCUCUAUCUAGGGGCUCAGUUAUAGGCAACAUCCGUUAUGCCUCAAAAAUACAAUUAAGAAAGGACUGCUUUAAUGAUUAUCAGAAAUUGUUAGGUGAUAUCAAUUGUGUCAGGCAAUAUUCAUUUCUUACUACAACUGAAUUACAACCUUUAUUCAAAAUACUGGAAGGGAGCUCUGACUUGAAUUGCCCUGGAACUUUGACACCUGAGGCCUCUCUUGCUUUAGAGAUAGUAGAAGAUAACCAUUAUCAGCCUCAAUUAGCUGUGAAAGUGACUAUUUUUGCAACUUUAAUGUUACCAACAGGUGCCUUAACUGAGAAACAAAGAGUCAUUGAAUGGUUACAUCAAAAAAGCAAAAUGGGAAAGGCUUUACAGAGUUAUGACUGUCUUAUGGCUCAAUUAAUAUGGAAAGGCAGAGAACAUGUGGUCUCAGGUUUAGGAGAGUAUCCUCAUGAAGUCCAGGUACCCAUUGCUAAAGAUAUACUACAGAAAUAUUUAGUCUUUACUGUUAGCAUACCCCAUUGCUAUUACCACCUACACUCCACAAGGCUUAUUUUCUUUUUCGUCACAACAUCCUAUUUUUUUUCCUAAUAUUCUAAGAGAUUGUCCGGUAUCAGGACCUAAUGUUUGUGUUGAUGCAAAUGCUAAUUACAAGUGACAGGAGUAUACAAGGAAGGCAGCUCACCUGUCAUUUUUACCACUCCUUAUUCUUCUACCCAACAAAAUGAAUUAACAGCUGUUUGACUAGCUUUUUGGUUAUUUCAGGAACCUUUACUCUAAAUAAAAAGUGUCCUAAUUGUGUUCCAAACAACCCCCCAAUGCAUAUUGCUGUGAAUCCCAGAGGCUUAAAUAGUACAAAUGGAUAUGACCCAUGAAUGGUCCUUUGGACGACUUAAAUAUAUCCAUGUCACUGUGGAUACUUUUUCAGGAUUUUUAUGGGCUUCCUGCUUGAUGGGAGAAAGAACUUCUCAUGUUAUUAAUCACUGCUUAAUGACUUUUGAGAUGGCUGGUCCCCCCAGAACAUUUAAAACAGAUAAUGGACCUGCUUAUACUUCCAAACAAUUUUUUCUUUUUUGCCACACUUGGGCUAUUCACCUCUCAGGUAUCCCACAGAAUCCACAAGGACAAACUGUUGUGGAGCACAGUAAUCAAAUCUUAAAAAACAUUUCUUUUAAAACAAAAAGGGGGAGACAGCAUCCCACAUUGAUGAUUGGCAAUAGCUAUAUAUACUAUAAAUAAUUUGAUCUUUACUUCCAAUAAUAUAUCCAGAGAUGAAAAAUUUGUCUCUGCAUGAAAUUCAGGCACCACUCCUGUGCUCCCUGCCCCAGAACAAAAACUUGGCAUGUGGAAAGAUGAUAAUCAAACUUGGCAAGAGGCAAGGACCACCCAGUGGUCCUGCAAGGCCGAGGUUCUGUUUGUGUCUUCACAGGUAAAGACAGAGUACGGCUCCCUCCCUGCUGAGUUCGAGAAAUUGACCAUAAAGAGAAGGACAAGGAGAGGACACAGGAAGCCUCACAAGGGACUUGACAAUAUCUCCAUAAGAUACUGACUCUUCUGCUUCUAUUCCAGAAUUUAAGUGCAGCUACUGGAGUAAAGAGAUGGUCUUUGGGGAACAACCACCUUGGGUAGAGCAUGUCAGCAUGGGACACGCUUUACCAGAAGUCAUCUUAUAUACAAAAACUAACUGAUAUUCCUGGCAUUUACCAUUUUGAGAGACAAGCUAAGGACAACAAUCAGGCCAACAAUUUGUUUGUGCCUUUCAAUUGGACUGGACUAGUUGAGGCACCCCCAGUGUGCCUCGCAGGAGACUGCAUGCCUGCCCCUCAGAUCUCUGCAGGUGCAUUAUUAUGGUCAUCCUGACCUGUCAGACUCUUUCUGGAUAGGACCUUAUCAUGUAGAUAAAAGGGAAAAAUAUGAAGAUUAUGGCCAACUGCAAUAUCUAGGUUGGCUAGGGGAAUCUUGUGAUAGUAUUUGGGGACAAGAAAGACCUAUUUGUCCAUAUGUGAUGGGAUAUGAACAAAGAGACACUGUUAAUAUGUUUCUGCCCUUGCUGUCAUGUAGAUUUAAAAGGGCAUCAUGUAUUCAUUGGAAAAAUAUGAUUUGGAUGUAUUGGCAUAACAACACUAGGUGUAUUGGAAAGAAAUUGGAUUCUUAUAAAUUUCAUGAUUGUUUUAUAGGAUAGAGCUCGCCUUUGUGGGUGAUGCCCCCAGAGCUAAUUGGUUACAUUUUGCUAAUUUCACACAGAUUUUGACUGAUUAUGGAAAGAUAGCCCCGGCAUUGGAUAAAGUAAAUAUGUCUCGUUAUGUUAAUGUUACUUAUAAUGGAAAAGUCCAAAAUCCAGUAACUAGAAGUGUUACAUUAGACAUCCAAGGUAAACACUCAGGGGGGUGGUAUCACUCACCGGCAGAUAGAGCAAUGGAAUAAUUGUCUCAACUAAUUAGCCCUAAGAAGAGAAGAUGUAUUUCUUGCUUAGUUUUAGGAAUUGUAGCUCUUAUAGCCGCUAUAACAGCCACAACUGUCAGUAGUGUUUCACUAGCACAAAGUGUAGCUAAUGUAAGGACCCUGGAACAUGAUGCAGAAUAUUUACAUGGGCUAGCACAGAAUGUGACCCAGGUUUUACACUUGCAGCAGGAUAUUAAUACAAGGGUUUUUUAUGCUUUACAACAAAUAUCUAAAUAUGUAUUGUUAUUAACCAAUCAAGUAGAAAUUUUAGCUAUCAAGGGUAAAUUAAGGUGUGAUUAUCGCUAUUCAGCCUUUUGCUUUCUUCCUGUUAAAGCUAACAUGUCUGAUGCAUUCGAAAAAAUUAGAAGUGAUUUACAAGGUCUUUGGUUAAAGAGUAACAUCUCAGAGGACAUCCAACAAUUGAACCACAUCAUUGAUGAGAUGGAUAACUCUUUAGCUGAGGACCUUCGCCCCGAACAUAUCGCUGAUUCGUUAUACAAUUGGAUCAAGUCAGGCCAAAGUUGGCUGUCUCCUUUGGCUCAAAUGAGUAUAACCAUAUUAACCUUCAUAUUGUUCAUAGUUAUCUUAGCGGUCCUUCUUCCCUGUCUGUUCCAAAUCCUUUUGUCCAGCUUGGGAAAAAUUGGCCGAAUCUUGGCUCUCCACAGAAGUCUUUUGCAGAACAAAUAGGGGGAAUUGUAGUCGAGGAAUACCUCCUCUUUUCUUUAUUUGUAUUUGCCUAAGAUAAAGUUGUGGACUUACUUAUCUUUGCUUCAGACAAAGAUAAGGAUUGACACCUUCGCCCAUCUUGGGACCAAGGAUGGAAUGUAAACAAGAAGGCUGCGGGAUAAAAUUUAUGAAGGGCUAAUUGCGAUUAGGUGGGCGCCUAUCCCCUUGUCUGUCCCCUUCCCCUUUGUUUGUAUUUGCAUUAACGGAAGAAUGUAGGCUGACCUUCGAACACCUGCCUAUCCCUUGAUCAAGAUUAGGGUUUCUGGAAUGUAGAGUUGUACAUUCCUGUAGGUUUUUUGUCUAAGUAGUCUUUGCCUAUAAAAGUUCUGUGUGAAGCAAAUAAAAUUGGCACUAUUUCUCUCUUUUCA
Monodelphis domestica (gray short-tailed opossum) is the source of this 8032-nucleotide long non-coding RNA. RefSeq lists it as uncharacterized. The record is from RefSeq and is a predicted model, not a curated record. Lineage: Eukaryota; Metazoa; Chordata; Mammalia; Didelphimorphia; Didelphidae.